UACAUAGGGAGCAAGCGUUAUCCGGAUUUAUUGGGUGUAAAGGGUGCGUAGACGGGAAUACAAGUUGGUUGUGAAAUCCCUCGGCUUAACCGAGGAACUGCAACCGAAACUAUAUUUCUUGAGUAUCGGAGAGGAAAGUGGAAUUCCUAGUGUAGCGGUGAAAUGCGUAGAUAUUAGGAGGAACACCAGUGGCGAAGGCGACUUUCUGGACGAAAACUGACGUUGAGGCACGAAAGUGUGGGGAGCAAACAGG
This 253-nucleotide ribosomal RNA is filed under the name uncultured bacterium. Its description in RNAcentral is "partial 16S ribosomal RNA". It matches the Rfam family "Bacterial small subunit ribosomal RNA", at positions 524 to 776 of the family's 1533-position model. The record is from RNAcentral.